UGGGGAAUCUUCCGCAAUGGACGAAAGUCUGACGGAGCAACGCCGCGUGUAUGAUGAAGGUCUUCGGAUUGUAAAGUACUGUCAUUGGGGAAGAACGGUUUUCUUGAAGAAUAUGAGAAGACAUGACGGUACCCAAGGAGGAAGCCCCGGCUAACUACGUGCCAGCAGCCGCGGUAAUACGUAGGGGGCAAGCGUUGUCCGGGAAUUAUUGGGCGUAAAGGGCGCGUAGGCGGGCCUUUAAGUCCGGUGUGAAAGAUCAGGGCUCAACCCUGAGAGUGCAUCGGAAACUGGAGGCCUUGAGGACAGGAGAGGAAAGUGGAAUUCCACGUGUAGCGGUGAAAUGCGUAGAUAUGUGGAGGAACACCAGUGGCGAAGGCGACUUUCUGGACUGUAACUGACGCUGAGGCGCGAAAGCGUGGGGAGCAAACAGGAUUAGAUACCCUGGUAGU
RNAcentral lists this ribosomal RNA (449 nucleotides) under uncultured bacterium. RNAcentral's name for it is "partial 16S ribosomal RNA". It matches the Rfam family "Bacterial small subunit ribosomal RNA", at positions 355 to 794 of the family's 1533-position model. The record is from RNAcentral.